UAACAAGGUCUCCGUUGGUGAACCAGCGGAGGGAUCAUUACCGAGUUUACAACUCCCAAACCCCUGUGAACAUACCAAUUGUUGCCUCGGCGGAUCAGCCCGCUCCCGGUAAAACGGGACGGCCCGCCAGAGGACCCCUAAACUCUGUUUCUAUAUGUAACUUCUGAGUAAAACCAUAAAUAAAUCAAAACUUUCAACAACGGAUCUCUUGGUUCUGGCAUCGAUGAAGAACGCAGCAAAAUGCGAUAAGUAAUGUGAAUUGCAGAAUUCAGUGAAUCAUCGAAUCUUUGAACGCACAUUGCGCCCGCCAGUAUUCUGGCGGGCAUGCCUGUUCGAGCGUCAUUUCAACCCUCAAGCCCAGCUUGGUGUUGGGACUCGCGAGUUAAAUCGCGUUCCCCAAAUUGAUUGGCGGUCACGUCGAGCUUCCAUAGCGUAGUAGUAAAACCCUCGUUACUGGUAAUCGUCGCGGCCACGCCGUUAAACCCCCAACUUCUGAAUGUUGACCUCGGAUCAGGUAGGAAUACCCGCUGAACUUAAGCAUAUCAAU
This 547-nucleotide ribosomal RNA is filed under the name Fusarium circinatum. RNAcentral's name for it is "eukaryotic LSU rRNA". The stretch from base 189 to 342 matches the Rfam family "5.8S ribosomal RNA". Lineage: Eukaryota; Fungi; Ascomycota; Sordariomycetes; Hypocreales; Nectriaceae. The record is from RNAcentral.